GAGACACCCCCCUCUAUGGAGCAGGACUUGCUUCAGUAGGGCUUUGGUGCUUACUGAGUCUGCCCCUUGAGUGUGUCGCU
Non-coding RNA from Myotis lucifugus (little brown bat), 80 nucleotides. NCBI's taxonomy places the organism in Eukaryota, Metazoa, Chordata, Mammalia, Chiroptera, Vespertilionidae. The record is from Rfam.